UGCAAAAAGCAUAACUUGUUGCUCAGCCAAACCGAUUCCACAACCAAAAAAAACUAAUCGGUCAUUUUUGUCAUCAUACAAUUCAUUUCUGAAACAGAGAUUUUUUUUUGGUCCACAAGUUUUGGGAAAAUAUAAAGUGUUAAUGCCUUUUAUAAUAGAAAACCGCUAGAACGCAUACUUUACGCGAGUGGCUCAAAAUGCCAUUGGUCAGAACUGGUCAAGUGACUCCAAUGACGCAGCAGGCUCAGUAAGAUCCAGGGUGUUCUACCAAAUACAUGGAGAAAACCCACCAGCGUUUGCACUUGAAGGGGAGAGACCCUGUACGGUUGUCUGCAGCGUGGGAAACGUUUUGCACGGUCAGAGAAAAUUUCACACACAAGGCAGGCACUGGAAGAAGUACUGUUAUGCUACAAGGGGGGAGAAAAAAGGAAAUAAAUUGCAUGUAUUAAC
Molecule: long non-coding RNA, 450 nt
Organism: Anguilla anguilla (European eel)
Lineage: Eukaryota; Metazoa; Chordata; Actinopteri; Anguilliformes; Anguillidae
Exons: 2
Source: RefSeq, a predicted model, not a curated record